AGGCUUCGCAAGGACCAGAGGCCGUCGCCGGUUAUCCGGCGUCAAGAAACCAAAGUGGUUUCCAAGCAUUGUUGAAAGGUAUCUUAUUCUGAAUACAUAGGGAUAAGAAGCGAACGCAGGGAACUGAAACAUCUAAGUACCUGCAGGAAAGGACAUCAACCGAGACUCCGCAAGUAGUGGCGAGCGAACGCGGACCAGGCCAGUGGCAAUGAGGAAUAAAGUGGAACGAUCUGGGAAAGUUCGGCCGUAGCGGGUGAUAGCCCCGUACACGUAGAACACUCAUUGUCCUUGAGUAAGGCGGGACACGUGAAAUCCUGUCUGAACAUGGGGAGACCACUUC
Molecule: ribosomal RNA, 340 nt
Filed under: Sinorhizobium medicae WSM419
Lineage: Bacteria; Pseudomonadati; Pseudomonadota; Alphaproteobacteria; Hyphomicrobiales; Rhizobiaceae
Description: bacterial LSU rRNA
Rfam family: Bacterial large subunit ribosomal RNA
Source: RNAcentral